This 1290-nucleotide ribosomal RNA is filed under the name Pectobacterium atrosepticum ICMP 1526. Its description in RNAcentral is "bacterial LSU rRNA". It matches the Rfam family "Bacterial large subunit ribosomal RNA", at positions 1666 to 2925 of the family's 2925-position model. The record is from RNAcentral. Lineage: Bacteria; Pseudomonadati; Pseudomonadota; Gammaproteobacteria; Enterobacterales; Pectobacteriaceae.
GUCAGGUAGAGAAUACUCAGGCGCUUGAGAGAACUCGGGUGAAGGAACUAGGCAAAAUGGUGCCGUAACUUCGGGAGAAGGCACGCUCCUGUCGGUGAAGUCCCUUGCGGACGGAGCUGACGGGAGUCGCAGAUACCAGCUGGCUGCAACUGUUUAAUAAAAACACAGCACUGUGCAAACACGAAAGUGGACGUAUACGGUGUGACGCCUGCCCGGUGCCGGAAGGUUAAUUGAUGGGGUCAGCCGCAAGGCGAAGCUCUUGAUCGAAGCCCCGGUAAACGGCGGCCGUAACUAUAACGGUCCUAAGGUAGCGAAAUUCCUUGUCGGGUAAGUUCCGACCUGCACGAAUGGCGUAAUGAUGGCCAGGCUGUCUCCACCCGAGACUCAGUGAAAUUGAACUCGCUGUGAAGAUGCAGUGUACCCGCGGCAAGACGGAAAGACCCCGUGAACCUUUACUAUAGCUUGACACUGAACCUUGAGCCUUGAUGUGUAGGAUAGGUGGGAGGCUUUGAAGCGAGGGCGCCAGUUCUUGUGGAGCCAACCUUGAAAUACCACCCUUUAAUGUUUGAUGUUCUAACGUAGGCCCGUGAUCCGGGUUGCGGACAGUGUCUGGUGGGUAGUUUGACUGGGGCGGUCUCCUCCCAAAGAGUAACGGAGGAGCACGAAGGUUAGCUAAUCCUGGUCGGACAUCAGGAGGUUAGUGCAAAGGCAUAAGCUAGCUUGACUGCGAGAGUGACAGCUCGAGCAGGUGCGAAAGCAGGUCUUAGUGAUCCGGUGGUUCUGAAUGGAAGGGCCAUCGCUCAACGGAUAAAAGGUACUCCGGGGAUAACAGGCUGAUACCGCCCAAGAGUUCAUAUCGACGGCGGUGUUUGGCACCUCGAUGUCGGCUCAUCACAUCCUGGGGCUGAAGUAGGUCCCAAGGGUAUGGCUGUUCGCCAUUUAAAGUGGUACGCGAGCUGGGUUUAGAACGUCGUGAGACAGUUCGGUCCCUAUCUGCCGUGGGCGUUGGAAGAUUGAGAGGGGUUGCUCCUAGUACGAGAGGACCGGAGUGAACGCACCACUGGUGUUCGGGUUGUGAUGCCAAUUGCAUUGCCCGGUAGCUAAGUGCGGAAGAGAUAACCGCUGAAAGCAUCUAAGCGGGAAACUUGCCUCGAGAUGAGUCUUCCCUGGGCACUAGAUGCCCCUGAAGGGCCGUUGAAGACUACGACGUAGAUAGGCUGGGUGUGUAAGCGUAGCGAUACGUUGAGCUAACCAGUACUAAUGACCCGAGAGGCUUAACCUUACAACACC